RNAcentral lists this transfer RNA (75 nucleotides) under Camelus bactrianus (Bactrian camel). It matches the Rfam family "tRNA". From Rfam's summary of the family: Transfer RNA (tRNA) molecules are approximately 80 nucleotides in length. Their secondary structure includes four short double-helical elements and three loops (D, anti-codon, and T loops). RNAcentral also lists the same sequence under 2 other names. Lineage: Eukaryota; Metazoa; Chordata; Mammalia; Artiodactyla; Camelidae. The record is from Rfam by way of RNAcentral.
GGGUAUAUAGCUCAGUGGUAGUAGAGUGGGUGCUCAGCAUGCACAACGUCCUGGGUUCAAUCCCCAGUACCUUCA